Molecule: ribosomal RNA, 481 nt
Filed under: uncultured bacterium
Lineage: Bacteria
Description: partial 16S ribosomal RNA
Rfam family: Bacterial small subunit ribosomal RNA
Source: RNAcentral
GAACGCUGGCGGCAUGCCUUACACAUGCAAGUCGAACGGCAGCGCGGACUUCGGUCUGGCGGCGAGUGGCGAACGGGUGAGUAAUACAUCGGAACGUACCCUGUUGUGGGGGAUAACUAGUCGAAAGAUUAGCUAAUACCGCAUACGACCUGAGGGUGAAAGUGGGGGACCGCAAGGCCUCACGCAGCAGGAGCGGCCGAUGUCUGAUUAGCUAGUUGGUGGGGUAAAGGCCCACCAAGGCGACGAUCAGUAGCUAGUCUGAGAGGACGAUCAGCCACACGGGGACGGAGACACGCCCCAGACUCCGACGGGAGGGAGCGGGGGGGAAUUUUGGACAAGGGGGGCAACCCGUAUCCAGCAACGCCGCGUGUGGAAAGAAGGCUUUGGGUUUGUAAAGCAUUUUUGUGGGGAAAGAAAUCGCGCUGUUAAAUCCCUGGGGGGGAUGACGGUACGGAAAAAAAAACCCCCGGCUAACUCCGUC